RNAcentral lists this ribosomal RNA (393 nucleotides) under uncultured bacterium. RNAcentral's name for it is "partial 16S ribosomal RNA". It matches the Rfam family "Bacterial small subunit ribosomal RNA", at positions 523 to 918 of the family's 1533-position model. The record is from RNAcentral.
AUACGGAGGAUGCGAGCGUUAUCCGGAUUUAUUGGGUUUAAAGGGUGCGUAGGCUGUGCGUUAAGUCAGGGGUGAAAUGCCGUCGCUCAACGACGGAGCUUCCCUUGAUACUGGCGUGCUGGAGUACGGAUGCCGUUGGAGGAAUGAGUGGUGUAGCGGUGAAAUGCUUAGAUAUCACUCAGAACACCGAUUGCGAAGGCAUCUGACGAAUCCGUCACUGACGCUGAGGCACGAAAGCGUGGGGAUAGAACAGGAUUAGAUACCCUGGUAUUCCACGCCGUAAACGAUGAUGACUAACCGUCGGCGAUAGACAGCCGGUGGCCAAGCGAAAGCGAUAAGUCAUCCACCUGGGGAGUACGUCGGCAACGAUGAAACUCAAAUGAAUUGACGGGG